RNAcentral lists this ribosomal RNA (677 nucleotides) under uncultured bacterium. RNAcentral's name for it is "bacterial SSU rRNA". It matches the Rfam family "Bacterial small subunit ribosomal RNA", at positions 98 to 794 of the family's 1533-position model. The record is from RNAcentral.
GCGGACGGGUGAGUAACGCGUGGGUAACCUGCCCUGUACACACGGAUAACAUACCGAAAGGUAUGCUAAUACGAGAUAAAGUACUUUUAUCGCAUGGUAGAAGUAUCAAAGCUUUUGCGGUACAGGAUGGACCCGCGUCUGAUUAGCUAGUUGGUAAGGUAACGGCUUACCAAGGCGACGAUCAGUAGCCGACCUGAGAGGGUGAUCGGCCACAUUGGAACUGAGACACGGUCCAAACUCCUACGGGAGGCAGCAGUGGGGAAUAUUGCACAAUGGGCGAAAGCCUGAUGCAGCAACGCCGCGUGAGCGAUGAAGGCCUUCGGGUCGUAAAGCUCUGUCCUCAAGGAAGAUAAUGACGGUACUUGAGGAGGAAGCCCCGGCUAACUACGUGCCAGCAGCCGCGGUAAUACGUAGGGGGCUAGCGUUAUCCGGAAUUACUGGGCGUAAAGGGUGCGUAGGUGGUUUCUUAAGUCAGAGGUGAAAGGCUACGGCUCAACCGUAGUAAGCCUUUGAAACUGGGAAACUUGAGUGCAGGAGAGGAGAGUGGAAUUCCUAGUGUAGCGGUGAAAUGCGUAGAUAUUAGGAGGAACACCAGUUGCGAAGGCGGCUCUCUGGACUGUAACUGACACUGAGGCACGAAAGCGUGGGGAGCAAACAGGAUUAGAUACCCUGGUAGU